RNAcentral lists this ribosomal RNA (163 nucleotides) under Camellia formosensis. Its description in RNAcentral is "Camellia sinensis f. formosensis 5.8S ribosomal RNA". It matches the Rfam family "5.8S ribosomal RNA". Rfam says of the family: 5.8S ribosomal RNA (5.8S rRNA) is a component of the large subunit of the eukaryotic ribosome. It is transcribed by RNA polymerase I as part of the 45S precursor that also contains 18S and 28S rRNA. Lineage: Eukaryota; Viridiplantae; Streptophyta; Magnoliopsida; Ericales; Theaceae. The record is from RNAcentral.
UAAACGACUCUCGGCAACGGAUAUCUCGGCUCUCGCAUCGAUGAAGAACGUAGCGAAAUGCGAUACUUGGUGUGAAUUGCAGAAUCCCGCGAACCAUCGAGUCUUUGAACGCAAGUUGCGCCCGAAGCCAUUAGGUUGAGGGCACGCCUGCCUGGGCGUCUCA